ACGUAGAUAUCUGGAAGAACACCAGUUGCGAAGGCGGUCUCUUGGUCCGACACUGACGCUGAGGCGCGAAAGCGUGGGGAGCAAACAGGAUUAGAUACCCUAGUAGUCCACGCUGUAAACGAUGAAUACUAGGUGUUGGGUUUAAAUACUCAGUGCCGCAGCUAACGCAUUAAGUAUUCCACCUGGGGAGUACGAUCGCAAGGUUGAAACUCAAAGGAAUUGACGGGGGCCCGCACAAGUAGUGGAGCAUGUGGUUUAAUUCGAUGCAACGCGAAGAACCUUACCUAGGCUUGAAAGGCAAGUGACAGGGUAUGAAAGUACCCCUCCAGCAAUGGCACUUGUACAGGUGCUGCAUGGCUGUCGUCAGCUCGUGCCGUGAGGUGUUGGGUUAAGUCCCGCAACGAGCGCAACCCU
This 414-nucleotide ribosomal RNA is filed under the name uncultured bacterium. Its description in RNAcentral is "bacterial SSU rRNA". It matches the Rfam family "Bacterial small subunit ribosomal RNA", at positions 688 to 1105 of the family's 1533-position model. The record is from RNAcentral.